Molecule: ribosomal RNA, 253 nt
Filed under: uncultured bacterium
Lineage: Bacteria
Description: partial 16S ribosomal RNA
Rfam family: Bacterial small subunit ribosomal RNA
Source: RNAcentral
UACGGAGGGUGCAAGCGUUAUCCGGAUUCACUGGGUUUAAAGGGUGCGUAGGUGGGCUGGUAAGUCAGUGGUGAAAUCUCCGGGCUUAACUCGGAAACUGCCAUUGAUACUAUCAGUCUUGAAUACCGUGGAGGUCAGUAGAAUAUGUCAUGUAGCGGUGAAAUGCUUAGAUAUGACAUAGAAUACCAAUUGCGAAGGCAGCUGGCUACACGAAUAUUGACACUCAGGCACGAAAGCGUGGGGAUCAAACAUG